CCAGUCGGCCGGGCAGCCGCGCUCCGCAAAAGGUCGAAAGGCCGCGGGGUGAGGAAAGUCCGGGCUCCACGGAAACACGGUGCCGGAUAACGUCCGGCGGGGGCGACCCUAGGGAAAGUGCCACAGAAAGCAAACCGCCUCGCUCACGCGGGGUAAGGGUGAAAGGGUGGGGUAAGAGCCCACCGCGUCGCUGGCGACAGGGACGGCACGGUAAACCCCACCGGGAGCAAGACCGAAUAGGGAUGACGCGGCCGCCUGCAAAGGCUGCCAGCCCGUUUCCGGGCCGGUCAUCCGGGUGGGUCGCGCGAGGCGGAACGCAAGUUUCGUCCCAGAUGAAUGGCUGCCGCGUUCGGCGUCCCAACGGGCGUCGGGCCAUACAGAACCCGGCUUACAGGCCGACUGGCAUU
This 407-nucleotide RNase P RNA is filed under the name Rhizobium sp. EC-SD404. RNAcentral's name for it is "RNaseP_bact_a". It matches the Rfam family "Bacterial RNase P class A". Rfam says of the family: Ribonuclease P (RNase P) is a ubiquitous endoribonuclease, found in archaea, bacteria and eukarya as well as chloroplasts and mitochondria. Lineage: Bacteria; Pseudomonadati; Pseudomonadota; Alphaproteobacteria; Hyphomicrobiales; Rhizobiaceae. The record is from RNAcentral.